GGGUGCGAUCAUACCAGUACUAAUGCACUGAUUCCCAUCAGAACUCCGAAGUUAAACGUGCUUGGGCGAGAGUAGUACUAAGAUGGGUGACCUCUUGGGAAGUCCUCGUUUUGCACCCC
This is a non-coding RNA of Ricinus communis (castor bean), 119 nucleotides long. Lineage: Eukaryota; Viridiplantae; Streptophyta; Magnoliopsida; Malpighiales; Euphorbiaceae. The record is from Rfam.